GUGCUCGUUUCGGCAGCACAUAUACUAAAAAUUGGAACGAUACAGAGAAAGAUUAGCAUGGCCCCUGCGCAAAGGAUGACACGCAAAUUUGUGAAGCGUUCCAUAAAAAA
RNAcentral lists this small nuclear RNA (110 nucleotides) under Tupaia belangeri (northern tree shrew). Lineage: Eukaryota; Metazoa; Chordata; Mammalia; Scandentia; Tupaiidae. The record is from RNAcentral.